GACGAACGCUGGCGGCGUGCUUAACACAUGCAAGUCGAACGGAAAGGCCCUGCUUUUGUGGGGUGCUCGAGUGGCGAACGGGUGAGUAACACGUGAGUAACCUGCCCUUGACUUUGGGAUAACUUCAGGAAACUGGGGCUAAUACCGGAUAGGAGCUCCUGCUGCAUGGUGGGGGUUGGAAAGUUUCGGCGGUUGGGGAUGGACUCGCGGGUUAUCAGCUUGUUGGUGGGGUAGUGGCUUACCAAGGCUUUGACGGGUAGCCGGCCUGAGAGGGUGACCGGCCACAUUGGGACUGAGAUACGGCCCAGACUCCUACGGGAGGCAGCAGGGGGGAAUAUUGCACAAUGGGCGGAAGCCGGAUGCAGCAACGCCGCGUGCGGGAUGACGGCCUUCGGGUUGUAAACCGCUUUCGCCUGUGACGAAGCGUGAGUGACGGUAAUGGGUAAAGAAGCACCGGCUAACUACGUG
RNAcentral lists this ribosomal RNA (468 nucleotides) under uncultured bacterium. Its description in RNAcentral is "partial 16S ribosomal RNA". It matches the Rfam family "Bacterial small subunit ribosomal RNA", at positions 28 to 507 of the family's 1533-position model. The record is from RNAcentral.